Molecule: ribosomal RNA, 541 nt
Filed under: fungal endophyte
Lineage: Eukaryota; Fungi
Description: eukaryotic LSU rRNA
Rfam family: 5.8S ribosomal RNA (bases 190-343)
Source: RNAcentral
AACAAGGUCUCCGUAGGUGAACCUGCGGAGGGAUCAUUAACGAGUGAGGGCUCCGGCCCGACCUCCAACCCUUUGUGAACCAACCUCGUUGCUUCGGGGGCGACCCCGCCGUUCGCGCGGCCGGCGGCGCCCCCGGAGGCCAUCAAACACUGCGUAAUUUUGCGUCGGAGUUUAAAUCAAAUUAAACAAAACUUUCAACAACGGAUCUCUUGGUUCUGGCAUCGAUGAAGAACGCAGCGAAAUGCGAUAAGUAAUGUGAAUUGCAGAAUUCAGUGAAUCAUCGAAUCUUUGAACGCACAUUGCGCCCCUUGGUAUUCCGAGGGGCAUGCCUGUUCGAGCGUCAUUACACCACUCAAGCCUGGCUUGGUAUUGGGUGCCGCGGGCCUCCCGCGCGCCUCAAAGUCUCUCCGGCUGAGCGGCUCCGUCUCUAAGCGUUGUGGAAACUAUUCGCGGUGAGAGGGGGCGGCGCGGCCGUUAAACUUUUCUUAAAGGUUGACCUCGGAUCAGGUAGGGAUACCCGCUGAACUUAAGCAUAUCAAUA